GGGUCGUUAGCUCAGCUGGUAGAGCAGCGGACUUUUAAUCCGUUGGUCGCAGGUUCGAAUCCCUGCACGGCCUACCA
This 77-nucleotide transfer RNA is filed under the name Massilia sp. B-10. RNAcentral's name for it is "tRNA-Lys". It matches the Rfam family "tRNA". Rfam says of the family: Transfer RNA (tRNA) molecules are approximately 80 nucleotides in length. Their secondary structure includes four short double-helical elements and three loops (D, anti-codon, and T loops). Lineage: Bacteria; Pseudomonadati; Pseudomonadota; Betaproteobacteria; Burkholderiales; Oxalobacteraceae. The record is from RNAcentral.